UACGGAGGAUGCAAGCGUUAUCCGGAUUUAUUGGGUUUAAAGGGUGCGCAGGUUGUUUGAUAAGUCAGUGGUGAAAGUCUGUCGCUUAACGGUAGGAUUGCCAUUGAUACUGUUGGACUUGAAUAUGGAUGAGGUAGGCGGAAUGUGUAGUGUAGCGGUGAAAUGCAUAGAUAUUACACAGAACACCGAUUGCGAAGCCAGCUUACUAAUCCAUCAUUGACGCUGAGGCACGAAAGCGUGGGGAGUCAAACA
RNAcentral lists this ribosomal RNA (252 nucleotides) under uncultured prokaryote. RNAcentral's name for it is "partial 16S ribosomal RNA". It matches the Rfam family "Bacterial small subunit ribosomal RNA", at positions 524 to 775 of the family's 1533-position model. The record is from RNAcentral.